This 450-nucleotide ribosomal RNA is filed under the name uncultured bacterium. Its description in RNAcentral is "bacterial SSU rRNA". It matches the Rfam family "Bacterial small subunit ribosomal RNA", at positions 29 to 526 of the family's 1533-position model. The record is from RNAcentral.
AACGAACGCUGGCGGCAGGCUUAACACAUGCAAGUCGAACGCCCCGCAAGGGGAGUGGCAGACGGGUGAGUAACGCGUGGGAACAUACCCUUUCCUGCGGAAUAGCUCUGGGAAACUGGAAUUAAUACCGCAUACGCCCUACGGGGGAAAGAUUUAUCGGGGAAGGAUUGGCCCGCGUUGGAUUAGCUAGUUGGUGGGGUAAAGGCCUACCAAGGCGACGAUCCAUAGCUGGUCUGAGAGGAUGAUCAGCCACAUUGGGACUGAGACACGGCCCAAACUCCUACGGGAGGCAGCAGUGGGGAAUAUUGGACAAUGGGCGCAAGCCUGAUCCAGCCAUGCCGCGUGAGUGAUGAAGGCCUUAGGGUUGUAAAGCUCUUUCACCGAUGAAGAUAAUGACGGUAGUCGGAGAAGAAGCCCCGGCUAACUUCGUGCCAGCCGCCGCCGUAACAC